UACGGAGGGGGCUAGCGUUGUUCGGAAUUACUGGGCGUAAAGCGCACGUAGGCGGCUUUGUAAGUUAGAGGUGAAAGCCCAGGGCUCAACCCUGGAAUUGCCUUUAAGACUGCAUCGCUUGAACAUCGGAGAGGUAAGUGGAAUUCCGAGUGUAGAGGUGAAAUGCGUAGAGAUUUGGAGGAACACCAGUGGCGAAGGCGACUUUCUGGUCUGUAACUGACACUGAGGCGCGAAAGCUAGGGGAGCAAACGGG
This 253-nucleotide ribosomal RNA is filed under the name uncultured bacterium. Its description in RNAcentral is "partial 16S ribosomal RNA". It matches the Rfam family "Bacterial small subunit ribosomal RNA", at positions 524 to 776 of the family's 1533-position model. The record is from RNAcentral.